GAUGAACGCUGGCGGCGUGCCUAAUACAUGCAAGUCGAGCGAACGGACGAGAAGCUUGCUUCUCUGAUGUUAGCGGCGGACGGGUGAGUAACACGUGGAUAACCUACCUAUAAGACUGGGAUAACUUCGGGAAACCGGAGCUAAUACCGGAUAAUAUUUUGAACCGCAUGGUUCAAAAGUGAAAGACGGUCUUGCUGUCACUUAUAGAUGGAUCCGCGCUGCAUUAGCUAGUUGGUAAGGUAACGGCUUACCAAGGCAACGAUGCAUAGCCGACCUGAGAGGGUGAUCGGCCACACUGGAACUUAGACACGGUCCAGACUCCUACGGGAGGCAGCAGUAGGGAAUCUUCCGCAAUGGGCGAAAGCCUGACGGAGCAACGCCGCGUGAGUGACGAAGGUCUUCGGAUCGUAAAACUCUGUUAUUAGGGAAGAACAUAUGUGUAAGUAACUGUGCACAUCUUGACGGUACCUAAUCAGAAAGCCACGGCUAACUACGUG
Molecule: ribosomal RNA, 497 nt
Filed under: uncultured bacterium
Lineage: Bacteria
Description: partial 16S ribosomal RNA
Rfam family: Bacterial small subunit ribosomal RNA
Source: RNAcentral